AAAAGGGGCGGAAGGGGCGGCCGAAUGCCUAUGGGUGCAGGUCACCUGGUGCUUCGCGUCUGGAAGGUGCUGCGCGUCGCCAUCUUGGCCACCAUGUCCAGCUACAGGAGCGUCGCGACUCAGACCCGGCCCCGGCCCGAGCUGGGCCCCGGCCUCAGCUCCGCAGCGCCCUUCUGGGAGCUGCUGGGGCUGCUGUCCCGGGAGCCCGGCAUGGACUGGCUCCGCGCCGUUCUGGUCGAACGGGGAGCGACCGAGGACGUCCGAGCCCGGGCAGAGACCGGUAGGGGCGGCUCGGACGGGCCCGGCGCCUCGAGCGCGGGCGGCCCGGUGGGGCCCGGGGCCGGAGACGCCGCCGCGUCGUCGGCUGCUGCCGGAAGUGUUAUUGGAGAUGGGGCUGAGAAGAAUCCAUUAGGCCCUUGGCCUCUGAAGACCUUGGACUUGUUGGAGCAUUCAGUAGAUGUAAGAAUGUGGCAAGCCUACCAUACAGGCCUGGUAAAGUUUCUUGCCUUCAGAGAAAACAUGGGAAUGCCUCCAGAAUGGCCAAUUCCACUGUAUCAAAGUAGAGGAUUUGUGGUGGCUAUGGAGUCCCUAGGCUUACCUUCACCAAAAAUACUGAUAUACUUGGCAGCACUCUCCUACCUUUCCAAAUUGACAGGUCAUACUGAUCCUCUUGAAGACAUUGUAAACAGGCAUAUGGUGAUAGCAUUGCGUCAGAGGGAUGAUGCUCCAAGGGGUGGUACUGCUCCUGUAACCAUUGAGGUCUUGCGAUCAAUCUUGGGGUCUGUGGAGUCUGUUUGCAGCUCACAGUAUGAGUGUUUACUUUUUCGUGCUGUAUUUACUGUGGCAUUUUUUGGAGCACUUCGGGUUCAGGAAAUGGUGGCAGAGCAUCAGAACUGGGCACAGCCAGAGCUGCUGUUCCUGAGUGAUCUCCAGCUGACGGAAGAGAGAGCAAACCUUCGAUUACGUACAUCCUUCCUGGGUCAAGAAAGAUUUUUGAUUUCUCUUGGAUUAUGUGGAGAGACCUGGGUAUGCCCUGUUGAAGCACUCUGGAACUAUGUGGCAGCUAGGCCACGCGGGGAAGGACCUCUCUUUGUUCAUUCUGAAGGUAUACCUCUGACAAAGAGACAGUUUUUGGCUGUCUUCCGUUCUUCUUUAAGACUACUUGGCCUUCGUUCAGAGUGCUAUGGUGCCCAUUCCUUCUGGUUGGGAACUACUGUAACACUAAUAAGAAGUGGAUACUCUGAGGAAGAUGUUACACAGCUAGCAAGAUGGCCUUGUAAGAUCCUCAGAAGGACAUAAUGUAACAAGUAAUGUGGUGACCUCACUGUUUAUCCCAGCCUUAAUUUCCUACUGGUGGUCUACUUGUAUUACAAAUAGUAUUCCCUCUGACAUCACAAGAAUGUGAAGGAGUGGGGAGGGCAGCUGUCAAAAUAUUAAAAAUAAUGGGUAUAAUCUCUUGCAGCUGCAUUCUCCUCUCUUUCCCCUCCCCUCAUCUUUAAGGGCUUUGAUAGUGGCCCUUGAAUUGACUAGCUCCAUCCACUUUUAAAUGCUGCUAAUGUCACAAGUACUGCCCUGUGAGGGCUGUAAACUACUCAUUAAGUAUAUAGUGCUGCUUGCACUGGAGUUCCAGCAGCCCUGAAACAAACUAGUUUCUUCUUGCUUGUAAAGCUUCUAGUAGUUGCUUUCAGUGCUGCUGUUUAGAAGCAUUGAAAAUGAGGAGCUAGUCAGUCUCACAGCUGUUAAUAUUGCAGUCCUGACAGUGCUGUGGACCUCUUAUUAAACUGCUUAUUAAGUUUGGAUAGAUGUCCAAAGUACAAAGUGCAUGUGCUUUAUUACCUGCAAUGCAAGGUUAAAUGCUAGCUGUAUUUCUGCUUGUUCUCUAGUGUGUUUUAAUAAACUUAUUAACAAAACUAAUUUGUAUAGCA
This 1925-nucleotide long non-coding RNA is filed under the name Crocodylus porosus (Australian saltwater crocodile). RNAcentral describes it as "lncRNA (ENSCPRG00005008876.1)". The record is from RNAcentral. Lineage: Eukaryota; Metazoa; Chordata; Crocodylia; Crocodylidae.